AACGAACGCUGGCGGCAGGCCUAACACAUGCAAGUCGAGCGAGGACUUCGGUCCUAGCGGCGGACGGGUGAGUAACGCGUGGGAACGUGCCCUUUGCUUCGGAAUAGCCCUGGGAAACUGGGAGUAAUACCGGAUGAGCCCUUUGGGGGAAAGAUUUAUCGGCGAAGGAUCGGCCCGCGUUGGAUUAGGUAGUUGGUGGGGUAAUGGCCUACCAAGCCGACGAUCCAUAGCUGGUUUGAGAGGAUGAUCAGCCACACUGGGACUGAGACACGGCCCAGACUCCUACGGGAGGCAGCAGUGGGGAAUCUUAGACAAUGGGGGAAACCCUGAUCAAGCCAUGCCGCGUGAGCGAUGAAGGCCUUAGGGUUGUAAAGCUCUUUCAGCUGGGAAGAUAAUGACGGUACCAGCAGAAGAAGCCCCGGCUAACUCCGUG
Molecule: ribosomal RNA, 433 nt
Filed under: uncultured bacterium
Lineage: Bacteria
Description: partial 16S ribosomal RNA
Rfam family: Bacterial small subunit ribosomal RNA
Source: RNAcentral